RNAcentral lists this microRNA (20 nucleotides) under Callorhinchus milii (elephant shark). RNAcentral describes it as "eshark_NOVEL_308". Lineage: Eukaryota; Metazoa; Chordata; Chondrichthyes; Chimaeriformes; Callorhinchidae. The record is from RNAcentral.
UACAGGACUGCACAAACAGC